RNAcentral lists this ribosomal RNA (571 nucleotides) under Alternaria sp. Fataf-15. Its description in RNAcentral is "eukaryotic LSU rRNA". The stretch from base 196 to 349 matches the Rfam family "5.8S ribosomal RNA". The record is from RNAcentral. Lineage: Eukaryota; Fungi; Ascomycota; Dothideomycetes; Pleosporales; Pleosporaceae.
UCCGUAGGUGAACCUGCGGAGGGAUCAUUACACAAAUAUGAAGGCGGGCUGGAACCUCUCGGGGUUACAGCCUUGCUGAAUUAUUCACCCUUGUCUUUUGCGUACUUCUUGUUUCCUUGGUGGGUUCGCCCACCACUAGGACAAACAUAAACCUUUUGUAAUUGCAAUCAGCGUCAGUAACAAAUUAAUAAUUACAACUUUCAACAACGGAUCUCUUGGUUCUGGCAUCGAUGAAGAACGCAGCGAAAUGCGAUAAGUAGUGUGAAUUGCAGAAUUCAGUGAAUCAUCGAAUCUUUGAACGCACAUUGCGCCCUUUGGUAUUCCAAAGGGCAUGCCUGUUCGAGCGUCAUUUGUACCCUCAAGCUUUGCUUGGUGUUGGGCGUCUUGUCUCUAGCUUUGCUGGAGACUCGCCUUAAAGUAAUUGGCAGCCGGCCUACUGGUUUCGGAGCGCAGCACAAGUCGCACUCUCUAUCAGCAAAGGUCUAGCAUCCAUUAAGCCUUUUUUUCAACUUUUGACCUCGGAUCAGGGUAGGGAUACCCGCUGAACUUAAGCAUAUCAAUAAGCGGAGGA